UUCCCGGUGGCUUAGACAGUAAAGAAUCUGCCUGCCAAGCAGGAGACCCUGGUUUGAUCCCUGGAUAGGAAA
RNAcentral lists this transfer RNA (72 nucleotides) under Ovis aries (sheep). It matches the Rfam family "tRNA". From Rfam's summary of the family: Transfer RNA (tRNA) molecules are approximately 80 nucleotides in length. Their secondary structure includes four short double-helical elements and three loops (D, anti-codon, and T loops). Lineage: Eukaryota; Metazoa; Chordata; Mammalia; Artiodactyla; Bovidae. The record is from Rfam by way of RNAcentral.